Molecule: long non-coding RNA, 436 nt
Filed under: Anser brachyrhynchus (Pink-footed goose)
Lineage: Eukaryota; Metazoa; Chordata; Aves; Anseriformes; Anatidae
Description: lncRNA (ENSABRG00000008389.1)
Source: RNAcentral
GGAGAUUGUGAAGCCACCCUGCAAGAUGAGCCCUGCCUGCCAUGCCUGCACUCAGCACUGAGUGCAACUUGAAACACCACCAAGAGCUGGGAAUGGAGAGACAAGAACAGGUGGCCAGAAAACGGAUUGCAGUGAACAUCUGCACAUCUCAGUCCCUGAAAAAAAAUUACAAACAUGCUCACUGUCUUGCUAAUGUUCUUCCUUUGAGCCAAGGAUAUUCUCAUGAAAUAGUGAUAUAUGUAUCAAAAUGGUAGCAAAAAGAACUCAGUUGAAUUAAGAACUGUACAAGAGCCUUGAGACUUUAAAGAAAACCCAACAACCAUUUCCUCAAGUAACAUAACUUUUAAUUAAUAUACUCUUAGAUACCCUUCACUUACUGCACAAUGACCUGCCACAGAUAUCACUACACAUAAUAAAAGAAAAAGUUAAACUGGUG